This 103-nucleotide non-coding RNA is filed under the name Paenibacillus sp. Its description in RNAcentral is "TPP sequence". It matches the Rfam family "TPP riboswitch aptamer (THI element)". From Rfam's summary of the family: Vitamin B(1) in its active form thiamin pyrophosphate (TPP) is an essential coenzyme that is synthesised by coupling of pyrimidine and thiazole moieties in bacteria. The previously detected thiamin-regulatory element, thi box was extended, resulting in a new, highly conserved RNA secondary structure, the THI element, which is widely distributed in eubacteria and also occurs in some archaea. RNAcentral also lists the same sequence under 1 other name. The record is from RNAcentral. Lineage: Bacteria; Bacillati; Bacillota; Bacilli; Caryophanales; Paenibacillaceae.
UUUAUUCACUAGGGGAGUUUAACGGCUGAGAUAGAGCGCAUGCUCUGGACCCUUGGAACCUGAUCUGGAUCAUUCCAGCGGAGGGAAGUGGAGCAGGAUCAUC